Long non-coding RNA from Boleophthalmus pectinirostris (great blue-spotted mudskipper), 2296 nucleotides. RefSeq lists it as uncharacterized. Lineage: Eukaryota; Metazoa; Chordata; Actinopteri; Gobiiformes; Gobiidae. The transcript has 3 exons. The record is from RefSeq and is a predicted model, not a curated record.
CUUGCCGCUCCACAUGGCCCAGGCAAUAUGGGGACCACGUGGUACCGGCGCGGCGCGAACCGGAGACUGGUCUGGAAUCAGUUUCAGCCCGCUAGCUCUCAAUGAGGAGCUGCAAAGAGGACACAGCAGUGCAGGUCUGAGCGCCUGCCGCUGGACUCCCCGUGUGCACUUUUGACAUCUUUGAAUUUUUAAACAACCAGCGAAGUCCAUGGAGCCAGACUUUCUUUUUCUUGUGCUUUCGGGAUGAGGAAUGCCCUCCCACAUGGCGCAAUAACAUCUGUUUGUGGGAAGUGCUGGCCUGGAGAGACAGAAGGAGAGGAGGAGGAGCAGAGGGAGCCACAGGCUCCUUAUAGGACACCACAGGGUAUAUGCAUGGAAGGGGAGGUGAAGUUGGAGACUAAAGCCAGGCUGGAGGGGCUUUUCUACUGUGUGUUAGCUGCAGAGGUGAGGGGCCGUCUGGUGUCGUACAGGUGCAUGAACAGACACACACAGCAUGGAAAGAGAAGCCUGCAUCAAUAAUGUAGCUGUGGAGAAACAGGCUGCAGAAUGUGCCUUACAUAAGCGUGCUGCCUCUUUCACUCUCUGCUUGGCCCUCAGGCUGGAUUCAACACAACAUUUUUAAGCUAAUUAAGCUCCACGUUUGCCAUCCAAACAAGUUUUCAAGAUAAGUGAAGCCUGUAACAAAAAACAUUACAAAAAGAGAAGCUUUUAACUGAAUUUUGCUGAAUUUGAAUCAAGGCUGAGUUUGUUUGUCAGAUUUUAUACUUUUAUACAGUUCAAUUGUGACAUUUUCUUAACUGGCAGAAGUAAGUCUUUGUAACAGGCUGUGUGGCUUUCGUGGACAAUGUAUUAGGUUUGAAUGUUAACUAUCAAUUUUCCUGGUGGAGAGGGGUCACUGGGGUCACAUAGACAAAGAAAUGGCAGGACAAAUGAUUUUCUGUAACUGUGAUGAAUAGGUCAAUAAAAUCCUACACAGACCUUAGGCUGGUUAACUUAGUAGAGUAAUACCCUUAGUUUCAGUCUUUUUAGUAAGCGGUUAUGUCAGUGUUGAAAGCAGAUUUUCAAAUGCCUCACAAAUGUACUUCUCAUUUAUUUAACUUAUUUAUUUAAGGAACUUUUAGUCUAUUUAUUUAUUUUAUUUAACAGGUACAUUGCAUCAUAAGAAAAUACUACACAAGCCAGAAGUGGACACAAACCACACGUUUUGUAUAGUAUUCACUGAAUUUCCUCUUUAUCCUCAUGUUUUGCCAUUCAGUGUAUCAGUGCGUCUUUCUUUGUGCCUCUUAAUCUUACUAUUACGUACAUGUUGGUAUGACUCGCCAACAAGCAAAUUUGUAGUUUUGCUAUUUUGUAGUAUUUUUUUUUUCUCCAAACCUUGCAAUUGUCUCUUUCAAACUACCAAUGCAUAUUUUUUCCUCUCUCAUUUUACUAUGAUGUGCAUAUUAUGUUACAAGGGCUUUGACUAUUUGCUAUAUUUCUUCCAUACUGUCUAAAUAAUCCUGUUCAGCAGGUGUAAGACUUUGACCUUUGCAUUUUACAUCCAGUUGCACAAUAUGAACUUGUCUCGAUCAAGCUGUUAGAUGUGGGCACGUCGAUGUGUGAAUCACAGUUUGUCAUUGUGUGCAUGUGGAAGCUCAUCAUGCUUGUGCUAUCCUUUUUCUGCCACAUUGCCAUGGCGACAGUGCCCUCCCGGGGUAAUGGGGGACGAGUGCGCCAGAGCUAUUUAUUCUCUCCCUCCACCUCUCUCUCCUCUCUCCAUCCCUCUCUCUCUCUACCCAUCCAUCCGUUGCUCGCCCUGCUACAUCCUCUCCUCCUCUCUCCUUCCCUCCUUCUUUCGUCCUCCUCUGAUUGGCUUAACACUCUUCCUCCUCAAAAUGAGACACUGCCUAAUGAGCGACAGGGUGAGGAGCCAGGAGUGGGAGAGACAAAGAGCAAAGAGUGUCUUAAAAAGAGAGAAAGUGGAAAUAUGUGGGCGAGGCCAUCUAUGCACAUUCAAAGGACUUGCAAUUUGAGUAACACCAAGAUGCUAUUUAGUAUUAAAACUGCGCUGAAUGUCUUCUAUAAUAAAACAAGUUGAUAUCUCUUUGCGUAUUUGGGGUCAUGACCUUUGAAUGAUGCAGCCAUUUAAAAUCUGCCAGCGUUGUAAAUAUAGUGCUGUAUACAAGACUGAUGUUGAAGUCCAAAAUAAACAAUGUGCUACAAUCUGAAUACAUUUUGGCCUUUGUCACAUGGCCCCUGACCAUGUUCAAGAAACAUAAUAUGCCCAUAUUUGGACAUUUGUUUAUUUUCUGCAAAG